This is an RNA transcript of Populus nigra (black poplar), 3875 nucleotides long. RefSeq lists it as uncharacterized. The record is from RefSeq and is a predicted model, not a curated record. NCBI's taxonomy places the organism in Eukaryota, Viridiplantae, Streptophyta, Magnoliopsida, Malpighiales, Salicaceae. The transcript has 11 exons.
UGCCAUUUAAUAAAGUUUAUAUACACUGACUCGUGUUGAUCUAAAUUUAAUCCAAUUUGUUUACUCGUCGUUUUACUGCAAUUAAUCAACGUAGCUUUCUUGAACUAAGAAAUGCGCAUGUCAAAUUUGUUUGUUUGCCUGUAUGCAUACAGCUCAUGUUGGCUUUGAUGGUUGACGAGUGUGAUUUUUGAGGCACUUCUUGUAUUCUAGACGCAAAUCUGUUUGUUAUGCUCGAUUGUCUUAUUUGCAGGGGUCAGAUCGAGUGAUUUGGCAAUAUGCAGCGCGCUCCGGUGACAAUCGAGGAGCAGCUGAUUUUGAAAGCGAUAAAGGAGGAAUGCCCAUGGGAGAAUCUCCCAAAAAGGCUUCAAGCCACUCUUAAUUCCAAAGAGGAAUGGCAUAGAAGGGUUAUCGAACAUUGUAUUAAGAAAAGACUCCAAUGGAAUACAUGUUUUGCUCGCAAAGUAUGCAAAGAAGGUGAAUAUUAUGAAGACAUGAUGCGCUACUUGCGAAAGAAUCUGGCGCUAUUUCCCUAUCACCUUGCAGAAUAUGUUUGCCGUGUAAUGCGGUUAUCACCUUUCAGAUAUUACUGUGAUAUGAUAUUUGAGGUCAUGAGAAAUGAGCAACCUUAUGACAGCAUCCCAAAUUUUAGUGCUGCAGAUGCCUUGCGUCUUACAGGAAUAGGAAGAAAUGAAUUUAUUGAUAUCAUGAACAAAUGCAGAUCUAAGAAAAUUAUGUGGAAGCUGAACAAGUCAAUUGCAAAAGAACUCCUACCCACACAACCUGUGGACUUUGCAAUUGAACCAUGGUGGGGAGUGUGCCUUGUCAAUUUUACCUUGGAAGAAUUUAAGAAACUUUCUGAAGAAGAGACGGCUACAAUUGAUAAAAUUUGCAAGGAGGAGGCUAAUGCAUUUAUCCUCUUUGAUCCUGAUGUUGUAAAAGGCCUGUACCAACGAGGAUUAAUUUACUUUGAUGUCCCUGUCUACCCCGAUGAUCGUUUUAAAGUUUCCAGGCUUGAAGGGUUUGUUUCCAACAGGGAGCAGUCCUAUGAAGAUCCUACUGAAGAGUUACUAUAUGCAGUCUUUGUUGUUUCAAGUGAGAAUGCUACUGUUGCUGAACUGGCAUCAACAUUGCAGGCUGACCUGUCUCAGCUGCAGGCGGCUGCAUCAUUUGCUUGUAGAUUAGGAUGGGCAGAGAAAUUGAUUGAUCCAGGAUCCAUUCUUCAAGAAACAAGCAUACCCGGGACUCCUAAAAUCACUCUUGGUGACGAGGAAGAUGCUUUUCAUGCUAGUAUACGCUCAGCAAACAUGUUCAACGACAGUGAUUCUAGUCAGCAUGGAGAUCUUACAGUGACAGAACACUCCGGACCACGUUCCAACCACACUCAAGUUGCUUUUAUUGUUGAUGCUAAUAUAACAUCUUAUCUCAUGAUGGGGUCUGUUUCACCAGGUUUAAAAUCCCAUGCUGUAACCUUAUAUGAAGCAGGGAAGUUGGGUCAUGCUAGCAUUGCAGAUCUCUGCAAGGAUCUGAGUACCUUAGAAGGAGCAAAGUUCGAGGGUGAAUUGCAGGAAUUUGCAAAUCAUGCCUUUAGCCUCCGUUGUGUCCUGGAAUGCCUCCUAUCAGGUGGGGUUGCUGCUGAUGUAAAAGUGGAGGAAGCUUGCAAUAAAAUGGGCACAGCAGCUUCAAGCAUUGAUGAGGCUACGUCUUUGAUAGCCGAUGUCGCUGUGUCUGAAAAUUCAGAAAAUAUUGGGGCUGAUGAAGUGAAAAUAGACAAUGAUGAUUCCAUGAAUUCAAUUACCCCUGAAGCUGGUUCUGUUUUGGCUAACCUUGUUUCUGGAAGUACUGAUGAUGACACCACUUCUGUUAUUUUAUCUGAAGACAUAAAUUCAUCAACUGAGGUCUCCAAAUCAGAUCAAGAUGUCCAGAAUGAUGAUAAACUUAUUCCAUUUGGAGGGUCUGAUGUUGGAGAAGGAACUUUAAAGAGGAGAAGGGAUUAUCGUGUGGAUAUUCUCCGCUGUGAAAGUUUGGCUGCUCUAGCACCAUCAACUUUAGACUCAUUAUUUCUCCGGGACUAUGAUAUUGUUGUGUCUAUAGUUCCUCUCCCUCAUUCAGCAGUUCUUCCUGGGCCAAAAGGUCCGAUCCACUUUGGUCCUCCUUCGCAUUCAUCCUUGACUCCAUGGAUGAAGUUGGUGCUUUAUUCAACUGUGGGUAGGGGGCCUUUGUCAGUUGUUUUGAUGAAAGGGCAAUCUUUACGUUUGCUUCCUGCACCAUUGGCUGGCUGUGAGAAAGCCCUUAUAUGGUCUUGGGAUGGUUCAACAAUUGGAGGGUUGGGAGGCAAGUUUGAGGGAAAUUUGGUCAAGGGAAGUAUACUUUUACAUUGUCUAAAUUCACUUCUUAAAUACUCAGCUGUCCUGGUGCAGCCUCUCAGUAAGUAUGACCUUGAUGAAUCAGGAAGGGUCAUUACUGUGGAUGUACCAUUGCCCCUCAACAACUCAGAUGGUUCCAUUGUUUGUGUGGGGAAUGAACUGGGUCUCUGUGAAGAGGAAAGUUUGAAAUUGAACACUUUGUUAACCAAUCUAACACACACGAUGGAAUUACCAACUAUUGGUUACAUUCGCCUGUUAAAGCUUUUCAGUGAAAGAGAAUCAGACCACUUUGCACCUAGUGAUAAAAAAUAUGAAUGGGUUCCACUAAGUGUGGAAUUUGGAAUCCCCCUUUUUAGUCCAAAAUUAAGCAACAAUAUAUGUAAAAGGGUUGUUGCAUCAGAAUUGCUUCAAUCAGAUACACUUACUGAACACUAUGAGGCCAUGCAAGGCUUACGAAAAAGGUUGCGUGAUGUCUGUGCAGAGUACCAGGCAACAGGUCCUGCUGCAAAACUUCUGUACCAGAAAGAGCAAUCAAAGGAGUCACCUCGGCAACUCAUGAACUAUGCCAGUGGAAGAUGGAAUCCCCUAGUGGAUCCAUCUUCUCCCAUUUCGGGAGCCUUGAGUGAGCAUCAGAGACUAAAACUUGCCAAUCGACAACGAUGCCGAACUGAAGUCCUAAGUUUUGAUGGUAGCAUUUUAAGAUCAUAUGCUCUAACUCCAGUAUAUGAGGCUGCCACAAGGCCCAUUGAAGAAACCCCAAUGGUGAAAUCUACAAAAGCUGAUCCUGAUGAAGCUGAUAGUAGAGAAGUAAUUCUUCCUGGUGUGAAUCUAAUUUUUGAUGGUUCUGAACUGCAUCCCUUCGACAUAGGUGCUUGCCUGCAGGCUCGUCAACCGGUUUCCUUAAUAGCUGAAGCUGCGGCAGCCUCAGCUUCUACUUCAAUUAAAUAGGCCUUCAUUUUGCUUGAUGGGGGUAGACACAAGUAUCUGCCAAUCUAUCAACAAAUGGCAGUUGACGAACAUUACACCAGCUUUAUUCUGAUGCCUGGUUCACCUGUUUCACCUUUGAGGUUGCUUGUUGUGCGUGAGGUCGUAUUAGUUUAAGGCUGAACUGGUUACACCCUGUUAAUCCGUACCGUAAAAAGAGAAGAAUGAUGGUUUUUAGAGCAGAUGUGUCUCGAUUUGAUGCCUGAUGUUUAUUCCCCACCAAGAAACAAACUUAUUUUUUCACAUGAUAUUGGGGGAAAAUGCAGCACAUUGAUGUUUCCUGAAUGUCAAAAAUACAAAACCUUCUCCCAUAAACUGCAUAUAAUUUUGAUUCCAUUUUUUUUUUGUUACUGCAUAUAAGAUUUCUUAAACAUGUAAAGGAGACAGCAUACAGCAGAGUCUGAUGAAUUUUUAUCUCGAAACUGUAGUGAGGAAUUAUCAUGUUAUACUGGACAUGUGCUUCCCUGAACGCAAUAUUGUAAUUACGUAACUUUUUUCAUAUGAUAAGCCAAACUAAAGUUGAUACCA